Molecule: ribosomal RNA, 497 nt
Filed under: uncultured bacterium
Lineage: Bacteria
Description: bacterial SSU rRNA
Rfam family: Bacterial small subunit ribosomal RNA
Source: RNAcentral
UAGUCCACGCCGUAAACGAUGAUAACUCGGUGCUGGCGAUAUAAUGUCAGUGCCCAAGCGAAAGUGAUAAGUUAUCCACCUGGGGAGUACGAUCGCAAGGUUGAAACUCAAAGGAAUUGACGGGGGCCCGCACAAGCGGUGGAGCAUGUGGUUUAAUUCGAUGAUACGCGAGGAACCUUACCUGGGCUUAAAUGCAUAAUGACAGACUGGGAAACCAGUCCUUCUUCGGACAGAAUGCAAGGUGCUGCAUGGUUGUCGUCAGCUCGUGCUGUGAGGUGUCGGGUUAAGUCCCAUAACGAGCGCAACCCCUAUUCUUAGUUGCCAGCGGAUAAUGCCGGGGACUCUAGGAAAACUGCCCGCGCAUGCGGUGAGGAAGGUGGGGAUGACGUCAAAUCAUCACGGCCCUUACGCCCAGGGCUACACACGUGCUACAAUGGUCGGUACAAAGAGCAGCUACCUGGUGACAGGAUGCUAAUCUUCAAAGCCGAUCUCAGUUC